Molecule: small nucleolar RNA, 76 nt
Organism: Solea solea (common sole)
Lineage: Eukaryota; Metazoa; Chordata; Actinopteri; Pleuronectiformes; Soleidae
Source: RefSeq, a predicted model, not a curated record
AUGUAGAGGUGAUGAGCUUCUUGUUACCGCCCCAGUCUGAAAAUUCAUGACUGAUUGGUAUAUUCUCUGAUCACAA